ACAGAGUUCAUGCCCUUACGGGUAGAUCUCCCACCCUAUGUUAUUAUUACUUUGUUGCUUUGGCGGGCCGUCAGGCUCACGCCCGGCUACCGGCCCCGGCUGGUAAGCGCCCGCCAGAGGACCCAAAACCCUGAUUAUUAGUGUCGUCUGAGUACUAUAUAAUAGUUAAAACUUUCAACAACGGAUCUCUUGGUUCUGGCAUCGAUGAAGAACGCAGCGAAAUGCGAUAAGUAAUGUGAAUUGCAGAAUUCAGUGAAUCAUCGAAUCUUUGAACGCACAUUGCGCCCCUUGGUAUUCCGAGGGGCAUGCCUGUUCGAGCGUCAUUACAACCCUCAAGCCUGGCUUGGUAUUGGGCUUCGCCACUCACCUGGCGGGCCUUAAAAUCAGUGGCGGUGCCGUCGAGGCCCUGAGCGCAGUAAAUAUCCUCGCUAUAGGGACCCGGCGGUUGCUGGCCAUCAACCCCCAACUUUCUAAGUUUGACCUCGGGUCAGGUAGGGAUACCCGCUGAACUUAA
This 514-nucleotide ribosomal RNA is filed under the name uncultured fungus. RNAcentral describes it as "eukaryotic LSU rRNA". The stretch from base 170 to 323 matches the Rfam family "5.8S ribosomal RNA". The record is from RNAcentral. Lineage: Eukaryota; Fungi.